UUACUGUGUUUGACGAGUUGAGGUGCUCUUCACCAUUCCCUAACCCGUCAGGUUUACUUUGAAAAAAUUAGAGUGCUCAAAGCAGGCUUCAAGCUUUAAUAUUUGUGCAUGGAAUAAUGGAAUAGGAAGUCGUUUCUAUUUUGUUGGUUUUCGGAAAUUGACUUAAUGAUUAAUAGGGACAGCCGGGGGCAUUAGUAUUCAGACGCUAGAGGUGAAAUUCGUGGACCGUUUGAAGACUAACUACUGCGAAAGCAUUUGCCAAGAGUGUUUUCAUUAAUCAAGAACGAAAGUUAGAGGUUCGAAGGCGAUCAGAUACCGCCCUAGUUCUAACCAUAAACGAUGCCAGCUAGCGAUC
This 355-nucleotide ribosomal RNA is filed under the name uncultured marine eukaryote. RNAcentral describes it as "bacterial SSU rRNA". It matches the Rfam family "Eukaryotic small subunit ribosomal RNA", at positions 699 to 1054 of the family's 1831-position model. The record is from RNAcentral.